UAUUUCAUGUAAAUUAUCGUAACAUUUUUUCCGUCACACUCCGUAUAUUACGGUGGCCCUCAACGGUUCACUGCUCUCGAAUCUCAUGUGUGUCAGCACCAGUUGUUUGUUUGCUGUUUCACUCUCGAUCGGCAUCGACUUAGCCUUUUAUUAGCAAUAUUAAAGUUAGACACUUUGCGCGUUUAUGCAGGUUUACUAAUUCGAAACUACAAACUUCAAUUUACUACUUAAUUUACUAAUUAAUCGUAGCAUACACACUCCGAUUGCUUCUGGAACGCUCUGCUGCAAUUAUCUCCUCUUGGUCGUCCACUAUCUGCCUCAAUUCCUGGAGCCAAUCGUCUAGUGUCUAACCCUUUGCAGAUCAAGAUCGGCGCUGCAACUACCGCUGAGGAUACAAGCCACUCGUGCUCGCGAAACGUCGGGAAGAAAGCUGUUUGUUAUUUCUUGGAGUUGAAAUUUUCUAUUUAAUUCUGUAAUCCACUGUUGUGCAAUGUAUCCAAAAAACAUAUGCGUGCAUUUGUUUAAUAUAUUCUGCUCUUAUAA
Molecule: long non-coding RNA, 543 nt
Organism: Dendroctonus ponderosae (mountain pine beetle)
Lineage: Eukaryota; Metazoa; Arthropoda; Insecta; Coleoptera; Curculionidae
Exons: 2
Source: RefSeq, a predicted model, not a curated record